UUUAUAUACGUGUGUGUGCAUGUAUAUAUGUAUGUGUACAUACAUCACACUCUUUAUGCAUACACACACACACACACACACACACACACACACACACAC
This 99-nucleotide microRNA precursor is filed under the name Procavia capensis (Cape rock hyrax). RNAcentral describes it as "miRNA (ENSPCAG00000019796.1)". The record is from RNAcentral. Lineage: Eukaryota; Metazoa; Chordata; Mammalia; Hyracoidea; Procaviidae.